CCUACGGGAGGCAGCAGUGGGGAAUCUUGCGCAAUGGGCGAAAGCCUGACGCAGCCAUGCCGCGUGAAUGAUGAAGGUCUUAGGAUUGUAAAAUUCUUUCACCGGGGACGAUAAUGACGGUACCCGGAGAAGAAGCCCCGGCUAACUUCGUGCCAGCAGCCGCGGUAAUACGAAGGGGGCUAGCGUUGCUCGGAAUUACUGGGCGUAAAGGGAGCGUAGGCGGAUAGUUUAGUCAGAGGUGAAAGCCCAGGGCUCAACCUUGGAAUUGCCUUUGAUACUGGCUAUCUUGAGUUUGGGAGAGGUGAGUGGAACUCCGAGUGUAGAGGUGAAAUUCGUAGAUAUUCGGAAGAACACCAGUGGCGAAGGCGACUCACUGGCCCAAUACUGACGCUGAGGCUCGAAAGCGUGGGGAGCAAACAGGAUUAGAUACCCUGGUAGUCCACGCCGUAAACGAUGAGUGCUAGUUGUCGGCAUGCAUGCAUGUCGGUGACGCAGCUAACGCAUUAAGCACUCCGCCUGGGGGNGGUACGGUCGCGAGAAGUAAACUACGUAAAGAAGUUAGUAGCGUUGAGAGNGCCGACGGACGACGACGAGGGAGGAGG
This 602-nucleotide ribosomal RNA is filed under the name uncultured bacterium. RNAcentral's name for it is "bacterial SSU rRNA". The stretch from base 1 to 517 matches the Rfam family "Bacterial small subunit ribosomal RNA", at positions 338 to 873 of the family's 1533-position model. The record is from RNAcentral.